RNAcentral lists this long non-coding RNA (451 nucleotides) under Arabidopsis lyrata. RNAcentral describes it as "long non-coding RNA (ALYR_LNC002088)". Lineage: Eukaryota; Viridiplantae; Streptophyta; Magnoliopsida; Brassicales; Brassicaceae. The record is from RNAcentral.
GCUUUUUAAGCCAUUUAACAAGUUCCUUCCCGGCGGCGUCUCUCGCAGCAACGUUACGCCGCCGUAAAUGUCGCCGGAAAUCGAGACCAGCAUAAUAAGGUACGUAAAUAGCUGAAGCCAACGACGAGUUUCUCGUCAAGCACUCAUAUCUCUUCAUUUUCUCGUGAAAAAUCACUUCGAGCAUGAACUGGUUAGUGGCGUACCAGCUCGGAGAGUAGUCAAAACCGUCACCGCCGAUCAAAGGUCCGAUUCCGGAGUUUUCGAGAUACUUACACAUACUGAUCUUGUCUUUUGGUCUUGUAAUAGACUUGCAGUCUUUAAUGAUUUCAAGAUUGAAUCGAGAAGGUAGAUUAUGGAUAUAUAUGUAGCGACCGAGACACGGGUCGUGACGGCGUUGAUGAUCGGAGUCGGAGGUGGUUGUGGUGGUGGUGAUGAGUAUGAUUUUGUCUUG